GCUACGGGUGGCAGCAGUGGGGGAUAUUGCACAAUGGGGGAAACCCUGAUGCAGCGACGCCGCGUGUGGGAAGACGGUCCUCUGGAUUGUAAACCACUGUCGCCAGGGACGAAGAUGACGGGACCUGGGGAGGAAGCGCCGGCGAACUACGUGCCAGCAGCAGCGGUAAUCCGUAGGGAGCGAGCGUUGUCCGGAAUGACUGGGUGUAAAGGGAGCGGAGGCGGGGAGGCAAGUUGGGUGUCAACCCUACCGGCUCAACUGGUAGUCACACUCAAAACUGCAGCUCUUGAGUGCAGUAGAGGCAGGCGGAAUUCCUAGUGUAGCGGUGAAAUGCGUAGAUAUUAGGAGGACCACCAGUGGCGAAGGCGGCCUGCUGGGCUUUUCCUGACGCUGAGGCUCGAAAGUGUGGGGAGCAAACAGGAUUAGAUACCCCGGUAGUC
This 440-nucleotide ribosomal RNA is filed under the name uncultured bacterium. RNAcentral describes it as "partial 16S ribosomal RNA". It matches the Rfam family "Bacterial small subunit ribosomal RNA", at positions 338 to 795 of the family's 1533-position model. The record is from RNAcentral.